GAUGAACGCUGGCGGCGUGCCUAAUACAUGCAAGUCGAGCGAACGGACGAGAAGCUUGCUUCUCUGAUGUUAGCGGCGGACGGGUGAGUAACACGUGGAUAACCUCCCUAUCAGACUGGGAUAACUUCGGGACACCGGCGCUAAUACCGGAUAAUAUUUUGCACCGCAUGGUUCAAAAGUGAAAGACGGCCUUGCUGUCACUUAUAGCUGGAUCCGCGCUGGAUUAGCUAGUUGGUAAGGUAACGGCGUACGAAGGCAACGAUGCAUAGCCGACCGGAGAGAGGGAUCGGCCACACUGGAACUUAGACACGGACCUGAGGACUACGGGACGCAGCAGUAUGGAAUCUGCCGCAAUGGGCGAAAGCCUGACGGAGCAACGGGGCGUGAGUGAUGGAGGUGUUCGGAGCGUAAAAACCUGUUACGAGUGAAGAACAUAUGUGUAAUGAACUGUGCACAUCUUGACGGUAACGAAUCAGAAAGCAACGGCUAACUACGUG
RNAcentral lists this ribosomal RNA (497 nucleotides) under uncultured bacterium. Its description in RNAcentral is "partial 16S ribosomal RNA". It matches the Rfam family "Bacterial small subunit ribosomal RNA", at positions 28 to 507 of the family's 1533-position model. The record is from RNAcentral.